RNAcentral lists this ribosomal RNA (484 nucleotides) under uncultured bacterium. RNAcentral describes it as "partial 16S ribosomal RNA". It matches the Rfam family "Bacterial small subunit ribosomal RNA", at positions 30 to 507 of the family's 1533-position model. The record is from RNAcentral.
AUUGAACGCUGGCGGCAGGCCUAACACAUGCAAGUCGAGCUGAUGAAGGGAGCUUGCUCCUGGAUUCAGCGGCGGACGGGUGAGUAAUACCUAGGAAUCUGCCUGGUAGUGGGGGAUAACGUCCGGAAACGGGCGCUAAUACCGCAUACGUCCUGAGGGAGAAAGUGGGGGAUCUUCGGACCUCACGCUAUCAGAUGAGCCUAGGUCGGAUUAGCUAGUUGGUGGGGUAAAGGCCUACCAAGGCGACGAUCCGUAACUGGUCUGAGAGGAUGAUCAGUCACACUGGAACUGAGACACGGUCCAGACUCCUACGGGAGGCAGCAGUGGGGAAUAUUGGACAAUGGGCGAAAGCCUGAUCCAGCCAUGCCGCGUGUGUGAAGAAGGUCUUCGGAUUGUAAAGCACUUUAAGUUGGGAGGAAGGGCAGUAAGUUAAUACCUUGCUGUUUUGACGUUACCAACAGAAUAAGCACCGGCUAACUUCGUG